This 481-nucleotide ribosomal RNA is filed under the name uncultured bacterium. RNAcentral's name for it is "partial 16S ribosomal RNA". It matches the Rfam family "Bacterial small subunit ribosomal RNA", at positions 28 to 507 of the family's 1533-position model. The record is from RNAcentral.
GAUGAACGCUGGCGGCGUGCUUAACACAUGCAAGUCGAACGAAACACCUUAUUUGAUUUUCUUCGGAACUGAAGAUUUGGUGAUUGAGUGGCGGACGGGUGAGUAACGCGUGGGUAACCUGCCCUGUACAGGGGGAUAACAGUCAGAAAUGACUGCUAAUACCGCAUAAGACCACAGCACCGCAUGGUGCAGGGGUAAAAACUCCGGUGGUACAGGAUGGACCCGCGUCUGAUUAGCUGGUAGGUGAGGUAACGGCUCACCAAGGCGACGAUCAGUAGCCGGCUUGAGAGAGUGAACGGCCACAUUGGGACUGAGACACGGCCCAAACUCCUACGGGAGGCAGCAGUGGGGAAUAUUGCACAAUGGGGGAAACCCUGAUGCAGCGACGCCGCGUGAGUGAAGAAGUAUUUCGGUAUGUAAAGCUCUAUCAGCAGGGAAGAAAAUGACGGUACCUGACUAAGAAGCCCCGGCUAACUACGUG